Molecule: ribosomal RNA, 588 nt
Filed under: uncultured Mamiellales
Lineage: Eukaryota; Viridiplantae; Chlorophyta; Mamiellophyceae; Mamiellales
Description: eukaryotic LSU rRNA
Rfam family: Eukaryotic large subunit ribosomal RNA
Source: RNAcentral
UUUUGACCUCAGUUCAGACAAGGCUACCCGCCGAAUUUAAGCAUAUUACUAAGCGGAGGAAAAGAAACUAACAAGGAUUCCCCUAGUAACGGCGAGCGAACCGGGAAGAGCCCAACUUGAAAAUCUAAAAGGUUGUACCUUUCGAAUUGUAGUCUAGAGACGCGUUCUCUGCGGCGGAUCGGCUCCAAGUUCCCUGGAAAGGGACGUCAGAGAGGGUGAGAACCCCGUCGAAGCCGGUUUCAGUCGCUCCACGAGGCGCAGUCGAGGAGUCGGGUUGUUUGGGAAUGCAGCCCUAAGCAGGUGGUAAAUUCCAUCUAAGGCUAAAUAUUGGCGAGAGACCGAUAGCGAACAAGUACCGCGAGGGAAAGAUGAAAAGACCUUUGAAAAGAGAGUUAAAAAGUACCUGAAAUUGUUGAGGGGGAAGCAAUUCAAACCUGUGGGUGCUCCCGGGGCAGUAGCAAUACACGCGCUCGGGGCUGGUCAACGUGGGUUAGCUUGGAAGGAUAUCACUUCCGAGUUGACCGAGGACUCGACGUUGGCGGAAAGGUUUGCAUUGACCCGUCUAGAAACACGGACCAAGGAGUCUAA